RNAcentral lists this ribosomal RNA (301 nucleotides) under uncultured bacterium. RNAcentral describes it as "partial 16S ribosomal RNA". It matches the Rfam family "Bacterial small subunit ribosomal RNA", at positions 509 to 809 of the family's 1533-position model. The record is from RNAcentral.
CAGUCGCCACGGUAAUACGAAGGGUGCAAGCGCUACUCGGAAUUACUGGGCGUAAAGCGUGCGUAGGUGGUGGUUUAAGUCCGUUGUGAAAGCCCUGGGCUCAACCUGGGAAUUGCAGUGGAUACUGGGUCACUAGAGUGUGGUAGAGGAUAGUGGAAUUUCCGGUGUAGCAGUGAAAUGCGUAGAGAUCGGAAGGAACAUCUGUGGCGAAGGCGACUAUCUGGGCCAACACUGACACUGAGGCACGAAAGCGUGGGGAGCAAACAGGAUUAGAUACCCGUGUAGUCCCUGUCUCUUAUAA